Long non-coding RNA from Phacochoerus africanus (Common warthog), 1124 nucleotides. RefSeq lists it as uncharacterized. The record is from RefSeq and is a predicted model, not a curated record. NCBI's taxonomy places the organism in Eukaryota, Metazoa, Chordata, Mammalia, Artiodactyla, Suidae. The transcript is spliced from 3 exons.
GUGUAAAAUGCUCAGAAUAGUGGUGGUGGUACAAAGGUGAUACUAUUAUUCUCCCCCUUUUACAGAUGAGAACUGAGGAUCAGCUCUGCCUUCAGAGCUGGAACCCUGCCCAUGCCACCACAGCGGCAGUGAUGCUGGAGCCACUCACCUGGAACAAACCACUGGGCUCACUGCACAUGUCAGUGGCCCUGCGGACUUCAUAAAGACUGCUUUCACUGAUACCAUCUCUCAGCUUAUUAAGGCCUUAAAAAUAAUAAAAAGAAGAAGACCUUCAAUAAGUAUCUGCUUAGUGAAACCUUACUGGAAUUCUCCAAAAAGCUCCAGAGUAGCUUCAUCUCUCAUCCUACAGCCCAGGAUCCCCUCUUCAAGUCUUUGAAGCCCUCCCAGCCCGCUAAGAAUGAGUCCGGCCCCGCCCAGCAGGUCACAGGCCUGGGCUCGUUAAUAAUUCACAAGUAAACAGGCCCAUCCACAAAGAGCCCUCGUAGAGGGCUGAACAAGUCACAGUUCUUCAGUAUUCCCUGGAGAGGGGCCCUGAGGGAGGACUAGGCCUGCUCCUUGGGCCGGGCCCUCCCUCGCCAUGGACUCUGGCCACUACUAGCUGUGUAACCUUGGACAAGUCACUACCUCAUCUGGCCCUCAGUUUAUCUCUCCCCACAAAAUAUAAAGGAGGGAGCAGACUGGACCAGGAGGUCAAAGGCACUUCCCGCUCUGAUGUUCUCGGCUCUGGGAUCUGAGCUCUUCUACUAAAGUCUGGUCUCCAGGAGCUGCUAAGCUUGGGUCUAAGGAAGGAGCCCCUGGUCAGGCACAAGGGACCAAGAACAAUUUUGACUGAAAAGAAGAUGCAGAAUGCUAAUGAGGGGCUUCUGGCACUGAGUGGCAUCCUGUCAGAAGUUAGAACUUGGGCUACAGAUUCAGGAAGAUCCAGCUGGAUUCCUGGCCCCGCCAUGUCCUAGCCCUGUAGUCCCAAGCUGGGAAGGGAAUGGUGCAGGGAGCAGGUUUGCAAGCCAAGCCAUAUACGCCAGCUCUGGCACCCUGAACCAAUGAUUUCACCUCUGAAAUGGGGACACUGAUGGCAGCAACCUCAAUGGGUUGUUGCAAGGAUUAAAUGAGGUAAUAUACAGGCA